Molecule: long non-coding RNA, 222 nt
Organism: Neogale vison (American mink)
Lineage: Eukaryota; Metazoa; Chordata; Mammalia; Carnivora; Mustelidae
Exons: 3
Source: RefSeq, a predicted model, not a curated record
AUGGGGAAGACCUGUAGCAAGUUGCGAUUGUUGAAGGAACCAUGCUAAACAGUGACAGAAACAGCUUCUCUGAGAGCAAGAACAGAACUGAACAAAAUUAUACUUCAUCAGCAUAAUUAAAAAGUACCAGCAGUUAACUUCCUCUUCAGGAAGGCGAAUGCAGAACAGUGUUAGCACAAAGGAAAAGUGCUAUUCAAGAACUUGGGAAAGGAAGAAAAAGAA